RNAcentral lists this ribosomal RNA (358 nucleotides) under Medythia sp. BMNH 846553. RNAcentral describes it as "partial 16S ribosomal RNA". Lineage: Eukaryota; Metazoa; Arthropoda; Insecta; Coleoptera; Chrysomelidae. The record is from RNAcentral.
UUGAAUGGCCGCGGUAUUUUGACCGUGCUAAGGUAGCAUAAUCAUUAGUUUUUUAAUUGAAAACUAGAAUGAAGGGUUGAAUGAAAAAAAAACUGUCUCUAUUUAAUUUUUUUAAAAUUUUAUUUUUUAGUUAAAAAGCUUAAAUAAUUUUAAAAGACGAGAAGACCCUAUAGAGUUUAAUAAAUAUUAUUUUAAUUAUUUUAUAUUUUAAUUUAAUUAUUUAUUUAAUUGGGGGGAUUGAAAAAUUAAAUAAACUUUUUUUAAAUUUUUUAUAUUUAUAUAUAGUUAAUUGAUCCAAUAAAAUUGAUUAUAAGAUUAAAUUACCUUAGGGAUAACAGCAUAAUUUUAUUGGAGAGUU